This 13011-nucleotide long non-coding RNA is filed under the name Glycine max (soybean). Its description in RNAcentral is "long non-coding RNA (GMAX_LNC001598)". Lineage: Eukaryota; Viridiplantae; Streptophyta; Magnoliopsida; Fabales; Fabaceae. The record is from RNAcentral.
ACAGGGCUAUAAAGCGCGCAGUAAAAGGUUUCCCUAGGCCAUUAAUAAAUCUAAACAAGGAAUUAUUUGCUCAAAUUGUCGAUCAAGCCUUUGGACAACCUUUGAAUCCACCUUUUGAUCCCUAUGCCAAUUCCUUGAACUACCAACUUGCGGCUUACAUAACUACUUUAGUUGGCCCCGAUAUGUAUGUUGGAAUCAUUCCAAAGCUUCAAAAUACCGAGUCCAAAGAAGUAAGUGAUCAAUUUUUGAAGUUUUUUUUUACGAUUUUGUUUACUUACUUGCUUAAAGAGUGCUUGCGUAAUUUAUUAUUAAAAAAGGACAAGGGUAAAAAUAUAUUGACUUUUUUUUACUGAAUUUCCCUAAUUUUUUAAAUGCUAAAUAUUUUAAAAAAAGAAAUAUUCUUUAUUUUAUAUUUAAUGUAUUUUUUUAUUCCCUAAUUAUUAUCUUUUAAAAUUAUUUAACACGUAUCAAAAUCAAUCUUUUUAUAAUCACAUGGAGGAGGGUUUUAUUAAUAGUUAAUUAGUUUAAGUAGUAGAUAAUUACGUAUAUUAUUCUCUCAAAAGAUUUCAGAUUUGAUAUUUAUUCAUGGGAAAAAAAACUAAUGGAAUAAACGGUCUCUCUCUAUAUGUAUAACUUACACCACUUAUCUCUCUAUAUGUAUAACUUACACCACUUAUUUUUUUAUAAAGAGUAAGUUAGAAAGUUAACAAAAUUUAUAGUCAUAAUCUACCAACUUACUUUUUAUAAAAAUCAACUUACUUUUUAUAAAAAUUAAGUAGGUGUAAAUUAAUAAACUCAUAUAUUGAGGGGAGGGAGAAAAAGAAGGAAUCAAAGAAUAAGUUUUUAGAGUUAUUUUUUAUUCUUAUUAUUUAUUUUUUUGAAAUCUAAUGAUUAGAAUUAAUAAACAAAAUGAGAAAGUAUUUUAAUAUGUCAUGUAUAUUGGAUAUGAAAGAAUCAGUGACUAAGUUUAGUAACAUAAAGUUUGUUUCAUCUUGUUAAUUUUGGAGUCACUAAAUUUUAGAGACGGGUGUUUUAAAAAAAAUACACAUAUAAAUUGUUUGUUCAUAAAUUUUAUUUUUUCAAAAGGAAGAUAUAAUAGAAGAUAAACUUUUAUUGUAAAUAUAAACUUUAGGGACACUAGAUAAGCAAAUAAAAAAUAGAAAGUAUUUAACAAGAAAGACAACAUUUAUAAUAUAAAUUAAAAGAUAAAAAUAAUUUAGUAUUUACUUUAAUUUUAAUAUCCUCCAUUUAUUAAUCGAUACUUUUAAAAUAUUACUCAAAUUUAAUUUUUCAUAGGAAGUAUCACAUUUUUUAAGAAAAGAAAGUACCAAAUUAUGUAUAUGUAUAUGUAUAUAUGUGCAGGUUUUUGCUGGCCUUCUAGGAGCAGCAAGUGGCGGUCAAACAAGUAUUCGAGCAUAUCUAUACGAACGUUGGGACUCGCCGGUGCCACCAUAUAAAGUGACUGUGGCAGAGUUCACAAAUCGCAUUGCAGAACGAGCGAAUAAGCUAGGAAUGGAAGGAACCAAAACUGAGGGUAUUGUAGUACCUCCAUGGAAUGGUGCUGAAGGCAAAGUUUCAGGUAAUGUGAUUGAGGCCGACAAAUAUUCACUUUCAUAUGGAAGGACCCCAGAGGAAAUAUUAAGGAUAUCGUAUGGGAGUGGCAAUGAAACUAUCCCAGGUGGCUUCUACCCUCAUGGAGCAAAUGGUCGUAUAGCCCAAUAUUACUUUAAUUAAUAUGCCAUAGUUAUAUAGUCUAUAUCUUGAAAGAGCUGUGCCAGGCGAUGGCUGAAGUUUAUAAUAAGCAAUAUACAUGUUGCAUUGAACUGAUCUGAAAAUAAAAUUGCCUCAUGUCGAUCGUACUCGCUUUAAAAAUUUGCAUAUAAUGUUACAUUUUUUUUUUUGGGGGGGGGGGUCAACCAAAUUAAAAGUAUUUCAUUAAUAUAAUGGUACCGGUAGUACCUCUGCGUCAUACAACAUUGACAAUAUAUUACAUUAAAGUUUCUAUAUCCCACCGAAAGAAUCCCAGCACAAAUUACGUGCCAUUCAAUUCAAAGGUCCCCCCUCCCUGUAAUAAUGCACAUCCUAUUUUAUUAAGUGCCAUACUUGAAGCCCCGAAGUGACCCUGUGCAGAAAGCAAUAUCCUAGCAUAGCAGAAUUGCCCUAUUACAACAACUUGGUGGUUUACAUACCAAUCAUAAAAGGAGUGAUUGAAAGUUUUUUUACUUUAGCAGACAACCACGACCAUGAUCUAAAUCGAAGUUGCUCCACCGUUUUCAUCAAAGUCCAGCUGUUCCCCUUCAAAAAUUAUCCUGUUUCUAUGGCACCAGAUUGACCAUACUGUAGCACACCAAAUUACCCUCCACAACUUUGUUUUUCUCUUCCCAAGCCAGAAGCAAUUGUGCAUAAAAUAGUGUUGUAUUGUUUCACAAUGUUCCACUUGGUGUACACAUCCAAUCCAUUUGUAGCAACUUUGCCAUACUUCAUGCGCAAAUGGACAUGCAAACAGCAAGUGGCCACUGUACGUCCUCCUCCUUCUCAUGGCAGAAUGGGCAUAGCUGGUCCUGCUGCAAACAAUUCUAAAGAAAAAGUUAAUAGAAUUAUCACGAGCUGUUCAUGCAAAAUAUGCAUGUUUAACCGAAUAAGUUCUUGUUGAUACGUUUUUCCCGAGAAUAACAUUCUCUGCCAAAUGGAUGAUAUGCAUAUUUUUGGGGAAAAGCAGACAUUUCUCUUUAUUUUUAUUGAUGAGAAAACACAUUAUAAAACAAAAGUAUACACCAUAAAACAAAUUUGUUUAUUUAAUUUGGACUCUUAUUUUUACAUUCAUUAAGUUUAUUUUGUUAACACAGUUUAAAUUCUCGUUACGGUCUUAGAUUUGUUUAACAUAAUUCAAGAUUUUGUCUCUAGAUUUACAAUAAAUUUUUAGGAUAAAUUGGACUUUCUCGCAUCACUAUAUGUUUUUAGGGCAAGUGACUGAAGUGAGACAAAUUUACUAGCAUUUCCUCUAUGUGACUUCCUUCUCUCACCUAGAAUGACGACACAAACUUUUCAUGAUCCCGUCUCUCUAUCACUCAAGUGAUGACUCCCCUCUUUAGGUCAAACAAUUCUUGAAAUAAAUUCUAAUUUUUAUAUACAGACUUAACACUUUAAUUUUAAAAAAAAUUAAUUUACAGAUAAUAUCUUUAAUUUUAAGUAACUUCUUAAAAAUAAAAUAAUAUUAUUUUUAAAUCUAAAUAAUAUCCUAAAAAUUUAAAGUAAAAAAUUUAAAUUAUUUUGGAACGGAUAUAAUUUUACAUGGUUUUCUUGUAAUAGGAUUCGUUUAGUGCCUUAAGACCAAAACUGCAAAUGGAUGAUGCAUACUAGCUAGUUCAUCAUUUGAUAUUCAAAUUAUCGGAAGCAAAUUUUAUUUUGUACGUAGCGAAUCAUGAAAAUAAUCGUAAGUUUAAGUUUAAAUCUUUGAAUAACAUAAAUGAAGAUACUAUAUUUCCCUCGCCGAGAAAUAAGGGCGGUGCGGGGACUAUGUAAUCCUUGGGAACCACCACCAUUACACAUGUUAUUUUUAAUAAUAAUUUUUUUCUAAUAUUUAAUAAAAUUGUUAUAAAAAACUUUUAACAAUAUUUAAAGAAUAUCAUUAAAUAUGAAUAAAUUUUAUUAAUAUAUUUUCAUAAUAUUUUAUUAAAUAUUGUGUUAAUCAUAUCAUCAAAUCAUAUAUUAGUAAUAUUUAAUAAUAUUUUUAAAAUGUUAUCAAAAAAAUUUAAUAAUAUUUUUAUUAACUGUUAAAAUAAAAUAUUAUUAAAUAUCAUAUUUAUAGGAGUGCACUAAUGUGAUUAUUAUCUAAUGGAUGUAGUUUGACGGAAAAGAAUUUUAAUAUUUGAUUUGGCCCAAAAAAAAUACAAAAUCCUCUCCUACACUUCUUUGAUAAUUCAAUAAAUGAGGGAUAGCAAUCUAGAUAAAAUAAUAAUAAUUAUUACUCAUUUUAUUACCUAUCGUCAGUCUUCUUCUGUUAAGUGAUGACAUGACGAAUGGAGCGUCACGUCAUCAAAUCACAUCAGAACCAUGUUAUUACCUUUUUUCCCUUCUCCUUCUUUCCCUUGUCCCCUUUGUGGUACUAGACGGUUGGGAAAGGGAAGAACCUGAAAUGAAAAUAUGGAUUCAAUGAUGAAAUGAUCACAAAUCUAGAAAAAAAAUAGAGGUAAAAAAAUCAUAUCUGAAACAUGAAUCCUCUUUCUUUUAUUGGUGGUGCGUCGAAUCAAAUCUCAAACUCCAAACCAAUAGAACAACUUUUAGAUUUUUAGAAAUCAUCGACUAAACAAAGAUUGAUCAUGGUAACGCGGAGAGAUUUAUGGAAUCUAGUGCGGUGUGGCUGUCGGAGAAAAAGAUAACAAACUGCGGAGGAGUGACGGUUGCGAAAGCAAGACUGUAUCGGAGGAGCGACGACAACAGAGGGAGUGUGAGAUGUUGAGGGCGUAGAGAGGGUAAUUAAUGCGAUUGCGGGCAAGAUGAGUAUUGGUGAUGGCGUAGAUUGGUUGUGAUGGGUACUAGGUGGUUGGGAAAGGUCGCUGAUCUAUGGUGGUGCGAUGGUUUUGUGGGUGGUGGUAUGGCAUGGUGAAGUCGCGCAUGUGUGGGUGGUUACGUUUUUAGUGACAUGGAUGCAUGUGCCUACGUGUUUAGUAAUAACAUAACAUUUCGUUUGUUACGUCAUCACUUAAUGAAUAUGAACUAAUGGUAGGUAGUAAAAUAAAACGUAAUUUUUUUUUCAGAUACUUGAUUAAAAAAAUAUGAAUUUUAGGUAGUAAUCUAAAAACAACUUACAUUCUAAGUAUAAAAAACUUAAUUAAGUCUUAUGUUUAUAAGUCUAGGAUAUUUUCUAAUGACUAUAGUCAUGUAACUAAUUUAUAAUCAUGUAACUAAUUUAUAAUCAUGUAACUAAUUUAUUUCAAGAGAUGACGAUCCUUGAAAUAAGUUUUAUUUCUCUUAGCAAAGUUUUUCCUCUUACAUGAUAAGGAAUCAAUAUAAUUGUAUAUAAUGUUUGGUCGAACUAGGCUACGGCUACAAGGGCAGUCACCCCCAAGUAAACUAAUUUGAUAUAUAUCAUACAUUUGGUCCGCCUCCCUCCCUAUCUCUGAAUUCUAAUAUUGGUCAUAUAUUUAAGUUUUAGGUCUUGAUUGGGUUAAGUUUGAGUUUCAAUAAAUUACUUUAUGUCUUUAUCAAAACAAUUAAAUCAAAUAGAAACACGGGUAAAUUUGUUCAACGACCCGUCCCACAUACAUACACGCCUCUACUAUAUAUAUGUGCUGGAUAUGCAUUAGGUUUACCACCCAGAAAAUAGACGACCCUAAACAUCAUGCUUCGCAGUUCAUUUCUUGUUGUUUUGCUAACCUCCCUUGUACUCCUUCUCCUCAUCCCAAGAUCUUACUCUUCGGAGAUCAAUGUAACACAAACCUACCCGAGCACAAAAUUUGAGUAUGCUCUUCUGGAAUUUCCUCUAAAUAUACAAUAUUUGGUGGCUGAAUUCUUCUUGAUUGGUGCUAAGGGUUAUGGAUUAGAUGCUUUUGCUCCAGGGUUAGCCCAGGGAGGACCCCCUCCCAUUGGAGGCCAAAAGGCCAAUCUGGAUCCCCUCACAGAAGACUUAACCUUGCAGAGUGGUUUAGCUCUAAUUGGACGUUUGAGGUUCUGAUCAUCUCUCUAGUCUCUCUACACAUUACAUUUGUUUAGGGAGGGAAACUAGAAAAGAAUAUUUUGCAUGGCAUGUUUGUUCUUAUUUUGGAAAUGAAUCUAAUAUCUUUAUUUUUAAGAAACAACCAAUAAUAUGAUGAUUUUAAUUUUGAUAAAGUAAAGUGUUGUUUCAUGGUUCCUUAAUUUACAGGGCUAUAAAGCGCGCAGUAAAAGGUUUCCCUAGGCCAUUAAUAAAUCUAAACAAGGAAUUAUUUGCUCAAAUUGUCGAUCAAGCCUUUGGACAACCUUUGAAUCCACCUUUUGAUCCCUAUGCCAAUUCCUUGAACUACCAACUUGCGGCUUACAUAACUACUGUAGUUGGCCCCAAUAUAUAUGUUGGAAUCAUUCCAAAGCUUCAAAAUACCGAGUCCAAAGAAGUAAGUGAUCAAUUUUUGAAGUUGUUUUUUACGAUUUUGUUUACUUACUUGCUUAAAGAGUGCUUGCGUAAUUUAUUAUUAAAAAAGGACAAGGGUAAAAAUAUAUUGACUUUUUUUUUACUGAAUUUCCCUAAUUUUUUAAAUGCUAAAUAUUUUUAAAAAAGAAAUAUUCUUUAUUUUAUAUUUAAUAUAUUUUUGUUUUAUUCCCUAAUUAUUAUCUUUUAAAAUUAUUUAACACGUAUCAAAAUCAAUCUUUUUAUAAUCACAUGGAGGAGGGUUUUAUUAAUAGUUAAUUAGUUUAAGUAGUAGAUAACUACGUAUAUUAUUCUCUCAAAAGAUUUCAGGUUUGAUAUUUAUUCAUGGGAAAAAAACUCUAAUGGAAUAAACAGUCUCUCUCUAUAUGUAUAACUUACACCACUUAUCUCUCUAUAUGUAUAACUUACACCAUUUAUUUUUUUUAUAAAGAGUAAGUUAGAAAGUUAACAAAAUUUAUAGUCAUAAUCUACUAAUUUACUUUUUAUAAAAAUUAAGUAGAUGUAAGUUAAUAAACUCAGAGGGGAGGGAGAAAAAGAGGAAUCAAAGAGUAAGUUUUUAGAGUUAUUUUUUAUUCUUAUUAUUUAUUUUUUUGAAAUCUAAUGGUUAGAAUUAAUAAAAAAAAAUGAGAAAGUAUUUUAAUAUAUCAUAUGUAUAUUGGAUAUGAAGGAAAUAGUGACUAAGUCUAGUAACAUAAAUUUUGUUUCAUCUUGUUAAUUUUGGAGUCACUAAAUUUUAGAGAUGGGUGUUUUAAAAUAAAAUACACAUAUAAAUUGUUUGUUCAUAAAUUUUAUUUUUUCAAAAGGAAGAUAUAAUAGAAGAUAAACUUUUAUUGUAAAUAUAAACUUUAAGGACACUAGAUAAGCAAAUAAAAAAUAGAAAGUAUUUAACAAGAAAGACAACAUUUAUAAUAUAAAUUAAAAGAUAAAAAUAAUUUAGUAUUUACUUUAAUUUUAAUAUCCUCCAUUUAUUAAUCGAUACUUUUAAAAUAUUACUCAAAUUUAAUUUUUAAUAGGAAGUGUCACAUUUUUUAAGAAAAUAAAGUACCAAAUUAUGUAUAUGUAUAUGUAUAUAUGUGCAGCUUUUUGCUGGCCUUCUAGGAACAGCAAGUGGCGGUCGAACAAGUCGUCGAGCAUAUCUAUACGAACGUUGGGACUCGCCGGUGCCACCAUAUAAAGUGACUGUGGCAGAGUUCACAAAUCGCAUUUCAGAACGAGCGAAUAAGCUAGGAAUGGAAGGAAUCAAAAGUGAGGGUAUUGUAGUAUCUCCAUGGAAUGGUGCUGAAGGCAAAGUUUCAGGUAAUGUGAUUGAGGGCGACAAAUAUUCACUUUCAUAUGGAAGGACCCCAGAGGAAAUAUUAAGGAUAUUAUAUGGGAGUGGCAAUGAAACUAUCCCAGGUGGCUUCUACCCUCAUGGAGCAAAUGGUCAUAUAGCCCAAUAUUACUUUAAUUAAUAUGCCAUAGUUAUAUAGUCUAUAUCUUGAAAGAGCUGUGCCAGGCAAUGGCUGAAGUUUAUAAUAAGCAAUAUACAUGUUGCAUUGAACUGAUCUGAAAAUAAAAUUGCCUUAUGUCGUACUCGCUUUAAAGAUUUGCAUAUAAUGUUACAAUUUUUUUUUGGGGGGGGUCAACCAAAUUAACCACACUGUAGCACACCAGAUUGACCAUACUGUAGCACACCAAAUUACCCUCCACAACUUUGUUUUUCUCUUCCCAAGCCAGAAGCAAUUGUGCAUAAAAUAGUGUUGUAUUGGUUCACAAUGUUCCACUUGGUGCACACAUCCAAUCCAUUUGUAGCAACUUUGCCAUACUUCAUGCGCAAAUGGACAUGCAAACAGCAAGUGGCCACUGUCCUCCUCAUGGCAGAAUGGGCAUAGCUGGUCCUGCGGCAAACAAUUCUAGCGAAAAAGUUAAUAGAAUUAUCACGAGCUGUUCAUGCAAAAUAUGCAUGUUUAACCGAAUAAGUUCUUGUUGAUACGUUUUUCCCGAGAAUAACAUUCUCUGCCAAAUGGAUGAUAUGCAUAUUUUUGGGGAAAAGCAGACAUUUCUCUUUAUUUUUAUUGAUGAGAAAACACAUUAUAAAACAAAAGUAUACACCAUAAAACAAAUUUGUUCAUUUAACAAGAUUUGGACUCUUAUUCUUACAUUCAUUAAGUUUAUUUUGUUAAUCCAGUUUAAAUUUUCAUUAAGGUCUUAGAUUUGUUUAACAUUUUAUUUCUACAUUUACAAUAAAUUUUUAGGACAAAUUCAACAAACUUACAAACUUUUUCACAUCACUGUAUGUUUUUAGGACAAGUGAGACAACUAUGUGACUUCCUUCUCUCAAACUUUUCAUAUCCCGUCUCUGACUCAAGUGAUGACUCUUUCUUUAGGCCAAAUAAUUCUUGAAAUAAAUUUCUAAUUUUUAUAUAUAGAUUUAACAUUCUAAUCUUAAAAUAAAUUUUUAAUUUACGGAUAACAUCUUUAAUUCUAAGUAACUUCUUAAAAUAAAAUAAUAUUAUUUUUAAAUCUAAAUAAUAUCUUAAAAAUUUAAAAUUACAAAUUUAAAUUAUUUUGGAACGGAUAUAAUUUUACAUGGUUUUCUUAUAAUAGGAUUCGUUUAGUGCCUUAAGACCAAAACUGCAAAUGGAUGAUGCAUACUAGCUAGUUCAUCAUUUGAUAUUCAAAUUAUCGGAAGCAAAUUUUAUUUUGUACGUAGCGAAUCAUGAAAAUAAUCGUAAGUUUAAGUUUAAAUCUUUGAAUAACAUAAAUGAAGAUACUAUAUGUAGUUUGACGGAAAAUAAUUUUAAUAUUUGAUUUGGCCCAAAAAACAUACAAAAUCCUCUCCUAGACUUCUUUGAUAAUUCAAUAAAUAAGGGAUAUCAAUCUAGAUAAAAUAAUAAUAAUUGUUACUCAUUGAAUUUUUAUAAUUGCAAAACCUUUUCCUUUUAUUCUUACAGCUACUUAAUAAAAACUUUUCCUGAUUAUCUAGCUAGUCAUAAACUAUUCUUAACAAACCUUCUAAUAAAUUAUUGGGCUAAGUACCCUUCUCCGUCACCUUGGAAGAUGGUUUUGAGCUUUUCGAUAAAUACCUUUCUCCAUCACCACUUCAAUCCAACAUCUUCCUGCUUCCAAUAUUUAGAGAAAAUUUUACGUGUAACCAACAAUUUCAUAAUUAGACCAUUGGCAAAUAAUUACGGAUAGCUUUUAAUUCUUUGAAAACAGAUGGGUGCAUGGUGAUUGAAUGGCUAAUAAAGCAAUUUGAAUAAUAAUAAAAAAAAAACCAAUGAAGGUGCCAUUUGAAAAGCUUCCAAGUGCAACGGAAUAAUGCUUUUUAUAUCCUUUGAAUAGGUAACAGGAGUUAUGAAAGAAAUAUGAACAUUUGAAUUUAAAAGGAAAGAAUAAAUAGUAAUUAAUUGUCAUUAUUUCUACGUAGAAAAAACGUGAGAGUGUGUGUGCCUGUGAGGAGAGUGCCCUAUGCCUGUGAGAAUGAUGAGGGUGCUAGUAUGACUCUGAGGCUAGUGUGUGAUAAUGUGAAAAUAUCGGAGAGUGAGAGGUUGGUUGGGAGCAAAUGUCUGCAUGAGAAUUAUGAGUGAUUAUUAAAAUUUCUUAAACAUACUCUCAUUGAAAAAUAACUCAUAAUAAUGCAUUCAUUCAAGAUUGUUUUUCUAAUAUUUAUAUAUAUAGAAGAUUUUUUCAAUUAAAUUAUCACAUUUUCUUUUUUAAUUUAAUUUUCUUAUUUUUGGAAUUUUAUAUUUAUUUAAUCAUUUAAUUUAUUUUAAUUUUUUUUCUUUUUUGUAUUUAUUUAAUUGGGUUACAAAUCCAAAAAAAAAAACACCAAGAAUUUACUUUGGAUUAUUUUCAAGUUGUGUUAAAGUAAAUAGUAGAUACAUCUUUUCAAUUCCUUUUUGCAAUGAUUCUAUUUUUACUUUUCUUUUUCAGAAACCAUUAUUUUUAAUUAUUACCUGUUUUUAUCAAAUCAGACAAAAUUGAAUGUUCACAAUUAUUUCUUCUAAAAGUAUAACUUUUUUAAUACUUGAACAUUUAUAAUAAAAGGUUUAAUGUAAUAAAUAAUAUUUUAUAUAAUAUGAUAUUAUAUUUAUAAAUUUUUUGGUUUGCAUUAAGAUAUUCCGUGAUGAUAGUCUUUGACUAAUUUCUUUUAAGACAUAAUUAAUUAUCACUGAAAUAAGUUUUGUUUCUCUUUUUAGUAGUAAAGUUUUCUCCACUUACAUGGCAGGAAAUUAAUAUAUAUAUAUAUAUAUAUAUAUAUAUAUAUAUAUAUAUAUAUAUAAUUAAAGAUUCUAAUUAUCUACUAACUAUGUUAAUCUUUGUUAUAUUUAUAAAGAUAUAAUUUAUUUUAAAAUAUAUAUUAUAAAAUACAUUUUAAUUUAAAUUGUGAUCUUUUUCAUUCUACGAUAUAAUUGUAUAUAAUGUUGGAGGUGGAACUAGGUUACAGGCUUACAGCUACAAGGACAGUCACCCCCCAAGUAAACAAAAUUUCUUAACAUCUAAUUUGAUAUCAUACAUUGGCUCCCCUCCCUCUGAAUUCUAAUAUUGGUCAUAUAUUUAUUGUUGUUUUGCUACAAGGACAGUCAACCCGUUGUGUGUGUGUGUGCACUUCAUUUAUUGUUGUUUUGCUAACCUCCCUUGUCCUCCUUCUCUCCAUCCCAAGAUCUUAUUCUUCCGAGAUCAAUGUACUCGCGCCCAAAAUUUGAGGAUGCUCUUCUGGAAUUUCCUUUAAAUCUAGUAUAUUUGGUGGCUGAAUUCUUCUUGUUUGGUGCUAAGGGAGUAAGGGAUGGAUUAGAUGUUUUUGCUCCAGGGAGGCCAAAAGGCCAAUCUGGAUCCCCUCACAAAAGACUAUAUGACUCGAUCAUUACACAAUUUGCCUUUUGAAUAUCAAAUAAUGAACUAAACAUCAUCCAUUCGCAGUUUUGAUCUCAAGGCUAAACAAACAUAUAUAUUGCCAGAAAUACAAUGUAACAUUAUAUGCAAAUGUUUAAUACAACGUACAUCGUAAGGCAAUUUUAAUUUCUGAUCAGUUCAAUGCAACAUGUGCAUUCCUUAUUUUAUAUAUAAACUGCAGCCAAUGGCUGGCAGAAUACGUGACAUAGUUUGCAAAUAGAGUAUAACUCUAUUGCACAUACUAGCUGCUAAAUAAGUAAUAUUUGGCUAUAAGACCAUUUGCUCCCUUAGGGAAGUAGCCGCCCGGGACACAUUCAUCACCACUGCAAUAUGCUAUCCUCAAUAUUUCCUUUGGGGUCGUUAUAUAUGAAAGCAUCAAUCAAGUUACCUGGAACUAUUCCCUCAGCACCUUUCCAUGCAGGAACUACGAGACCCUCACUUUUCGUUCAUGCCGAUCCUAGAAUGCCACAACAAGCUGCAGUACAUAUAAAGAAUUUGGUUAUUCGUGUUUAAUUAUAAGCUUAAUUAUAUAAUUGGUGUCUUAAUUAUAUGACUCUCAUAUCAUGUCACAAAGUGGAUUUGGACUUAACUCAAUCAUAUAAAAUAUGAGGUAAGAAUUAUUUCUCACUUAUAUAGUUUAUCUCGAUACUAUUUUUAAUCGAUGUGGGACUUAAUAUGUCUCGUUUUCCUUAUGACUAUUCGUUAUGUGUAACUUUCAAUACACACAUCUAUUUACGUGUGACCACAAUUAUUUAACUAAAAAUUUAAAAGUAUCAAUUGAGAAAUAUCUCAAAAAAAUAAAUACAAAAUUAUUUUUAUAUCAUAAUUUAUAUAAUAAAUGUUGUCUUUGUUAUUAAAUACUUUCUAUUUUAUAUUUUCUGUUUUAAAGUUAAUAUUUGCAUUAGAAGCUUAUCCUCUAUCAUAACUUCCUAGAAAAAUUAAAAUUGAUGACAGAACAAUUUAUAUAUGUAAUUUUUAAGACAACCGUCAAAUUUUUUGUGACUCCAAAAUUAACAAGAGAAAAGCAUUUUUCUGUUACUAAAUUUAGUCACUAAUUCAUUUAUAUCCAAUAUACCUGACAUAUCAAAAGACCUCCAAGAUGUAUUUUUUGUUUUUGGUAUAAAUCGCAAAUACUCAUGUAAACAUAUAUAAUAUAGAUUUUUUUAUUAUCUAUCGUCAGUCUCCUUCUGUUAAGUGAUGGCGUGACAAAUGGAGCGUCACGUUAUCAUGUCACAUCAGAACCACAUCAUUAUCUUUUUUCCUUUCUCCUUCUCUUUCUUCCCCUUCUCCCCUUUGUAGUACUAGGUGAUUGGGAAAGGGAAAAACUUGAAAUGGAAAUAUGGAUUUAACGAUGAAAUGAUCAUAAAUCUAGAAAAAAAAAUAGAGGUAAAAAAAUCAUAUCUGAAACACGGAUCCUCUUCCUCUUGUUGGUGAUGCGUCGAAUCAAAUCUCAAACUCCAAACCAGUAGAAAAACUUUUAGAUUUUUAAAAAUCAUCGACUAAACAAAGAUUAAUCAUGGUAACACGAAGAGAUUUAUGUAAUUAUACUCAAAUUGGAAACAUAUAUAAUAUAAAUUUUUUAUUUUCAUAAAUAAAUAAAUAUCAAACCUGAAAUUUUUUUUAAGAGAAUAAGAUAUGUAGUUAUGUACUACGUAAACUAAUUAAUUAAAUAUACUAAAAAACCUCUAGCUUCCAUGUGAUUAUAAAAAGAUUGGUUUUGUUAACAUAUACCACCGACACAUGUUAAAUAAUAUUAAAAGAUAAUAAUCCGGGCAUAAAAAUAUAAAAUAAAAUUAUUUCAUUUCAAAAAAAAAAAUAUUUAACAUUUAAAAAUAAUUAGAGAAAUUUAAUAAAAAAAGUCAAUAUUAUUUUUUCCCUUGUCCUUUUUUAAUAAUAAAUUAAUUACACGUGUACUCUUUAAGCAAGUAUGUAAACAAAGUCGUAAAAUACUUGAAAAAUUUAGAUAAGUUUAACCCCUUACUUCUUUGAACGCGGUAUUUUGUAGCUUUGGA